AAGGGGGGGACAUAGACCUGCUAAACCUUAAACCCGACUUAACCGUUGGCCCCCUCU
This 57-nucleotide transfer RNA is filed under the name Myanophis thanlyinensis. Its description in RNAcentral is "tRNA-Ser". The record is from RNAcentral. Lineage: Eukaryota; Metazoa; Chordata; Lepidosauria; Squamata; Homalopsidae.